Molecule: ribosomal RNA, 467 nt
Filed under: uncultured bacterium
Lineage: Bacteria
Description: partial 16S ribosomal RNA
Rfam family: Bacterial small subunit ribosomal RNA
Source: RNAcentral
GACGAACGCUGGCGGCGUGCUUAACACAUGCAAGUCGAACGGAAAGGCCUCUUUCGGGGGGUACUCGAGUGGCGAACGGGUGAGUAACACGUGAGUAACCUGCCCUUGACUUUGGGAUAACUUCAGGAAACUGGGGCUAAUACCGGAUAGGAGCUCCUGCUGCACGGUGGGGGUUGGAAAGUUUCGGCGGUUGGGGAUGGACUCGCGGCUUAUCAGCUUGUUGGUGGGGUAGUGGCUUACCAAGGCUCUGACGGGUAGCCGGCCUGAGAGGGUGACCGGCCACAUUGGGACUGAGAGACGGCCCAGACUCCUACGGGAGGCAGCAGUGGGGAAUAUUGCACAAUGGGUGGAAGCCUGAUGCAGCAACGCCGUGUGCGGGAUGACGGCCUUCGGGUUGUAAACCGCUUUCGCUCAUGACGAAGCUUUGUGUGACGGUAGUGGGUAAAGAAGCACCGGCUAACUACGUG